CAGCAGCCGCGGUAAUACAGAGGGUGCGAGCGUUAAUCGGAUUUACUGGGCGUAAAGCGUGCGUAGGCGGCUUCUUAAGUCGGAUGUGAAAUCCCUGAGCUUAACUUAGGAAUUGCAUUCGAUACUGGGAAGCUAGAGUAUGGGAGAGGAUGGUAGAAUUCCAGGUGUAGCGGUGAAAUGCGUAGAGAUCUGGAGGAAUACCGAUGGCGAAGGCAGCCAUCUGGCCUAAUACUGACGCUGAGGUACGAAAGCAUGGGGAGCAAACAGGAUUAGAGACCCCUGUAGUCCCUGUCUCUUAUAC
Molecule: ribosomal RNA, 301 nt
Filed under: uncultured bacterium
Lineage: Bacteria
Description: partial 16S ribosomal RNA
Rfam family: Bacterial small subunit ribosomal RNA
Source: RNAcentral